CCAGAGCGGCUCAGCCGCCGCAACGCAAAUGUUGGCGCCGGUACCGGCGACGAUACAAUUUUCGAGUUAAGUGAUCAAAUCUGGGGAUCUCGUGGAGGAGAUAAAGAGAAAGAGAAGGAGAAUGGACGGGAGGGGGAGCGGAAUGGGGCGUAGGAGAAGAAGCUACGGAUAAAGGAUUGGUUUUGAGGUCCUUUUGCAGAGUGACCGCGACAUGCUUGAUGAAAUGCCUGAACAGUCGCAGAAUGUUAUGUUGUAAUAUUUUAGUUCUUCUUUGGCUUGCAUGGAAGUUGCCUUAAUCUUGCGGAACGCCUGGAUAUUGCAAUAGAUGUUGCUCAUGCCAUCACUUCUCCAUAUGUAUACAGGUUUCUUGACCUUAGCUGGGCUCCUCCUCAGAGGAGGAGAACAUAAUUUGCAGCCUCUUCGUCAGAAUUGGAAGCAGGUCUGCUUAUGCAUGUAUAUGCAUGGUUGAAAGCCAGCCUCAAAAUUAAGUUUCGACAGCAGAAUUCACUGAAAAAUCUGUUUUUUUUUUUAAUCCCAUAACGAAAAUAUAUAGUAUUUCAGUUAAAAAAUCUGGCUUUUAUUGAAACGGGUGGUCUUUGAUUGCCGCCGAGUUGCCGGGAAGAACAGACAACGAUAUAAAGAACUACUGCAAUUCUUGCUCCA
This is a long non-coding RNA of Phalaenopsis equestris, 663 nucleotides long. RefSeq lists it as uncharacterized. Lineage: Eukaryota; Viridiplantae; Streptophyta; Magnoliopsida; Asparagales; Orchidaceae. The record is from RefSeq and is a predicted model, not a curated record. The transcript has 3 exons.